GGUUUUUAUAGUAAAUGGAUUCAGUUCGGUUUUUAAUUUCAGAAUUUUUUUAUUAAUUCAGUUUGGUUCAGUUUUCAGAAAAAAAAAAUCGGAGAAACCGAACCAAACCGAAUAAAAUUUAAUUAAAUGCUUAUUAGAUACACUCCUCUCUUCUAGCAUUGUGGUAGCAUGCACUUUAAGGAUUGCCAGUGUCUUGGUCUUGAUACCCAAGACAAACAUCUCCCAUUUUUUUUACAUUUUUAACUUUUAAUUUUAACCAUCUAUCCUUUUAAAACUAAUCUCAGCCAUCCAAUUCUCUCUCUCUCUAUAUAUAUUCUUUAACAAAAGAGACCCUAACAUUUUCUUCUCUUUCUCUACCUUGUAACGCCACCCACCUUCCCAACCCACAUUUCUUCUCUUUCUUUGACCAGUGACGCCAUCUAUCUUCUUUUCCUCUCUGCCUGUUAUUCCUUUUCAUUUCUUUAGAUCCUUAAUAUGAUUAUUUUUCCUAAAGCGACUAAAAAUUUCAAUUUUUCUUAUAGCAGAAAGAUUUUGAGCCCUUAACAGCAAAAAAGCUUUGCCAAAUGUCAAAGAUAUUUUAUCAAUUGCUUGCAUUUUGAGAAGAUUAAUUACUUGUAAGCCAAGAAAAUAAAGUUUCAAAAUGAGUCAUGUUUGUGAAUUAAUGUUUCCUAUUUGCCUAUUUCUCCAUUUCUUUUUCUUUUAUUUUUUUUAAUUUAUAUUCUGCAAUAUGUAAUUUUGAUAUUGUUAUUUGAUUUGAAUCGAUCAUCGUAAUUUUGAGUUAAAUCAAUUGAUGGAAAUAUUGUUUUUAAUUAUUUUGUUUUGGAUAUGUAUUUGAAUUCGUGAUUGUGUACUAUGAUUGAACAUGGGAGAUAAUAUUGUGAUUGAACAUGGAAGAAAAAUGGAGGCUUGAAAACCAAAUUUAUAAAGUGAACCAAACUGAUUUAUUUUGGUUUGGUUCGGUUCAGUAGUAUAUAUAGCUCAAUUCAGUUUGGUUUUUAAUUUUAAAUGAAAAUUGGUUAUCGAUUUUUUCAGUUCAGUUCAGUUUUGAACCGAACCGACGGAAUGCUCACAUAUACUCUUAUCAUUCUAUUCUUCAUAUAAAUAAAUUUUGUAAGAAUCUUUAAGCACAUUACCAAUCACAUGCAUUUGUGCGUUGGCCAACAAAUACUUCAAAUAUAUUAGGGAACAUACGGAAAGGAUAAGGUAAGUGUGACAUGAAUGCCAAAUAUAUGUGUGUAGAGCAA
Molecule: unclassified non-coding RNA, 1244 nt
Filed under: Hevea brasiliensis (rubber tree)
Lineage: Eukaryota; Viridiplantae; Streptophyta; Magnoliopsida; Malpighiales; Euphorbiaceae
Source: RNAcentral